Molecule: long non-coding RNA, 480 nt
Filed under: Monodelphis domestica (gray short-tailed opossum)
Lineage: Eukaryota; Metazoa; Chordata; Mammalia; Didelphimorphia; Didelphidae
Description: lncRNA (ENSMODG00000034842.2)
Source: RNAcentral
CCCCAUUUCGGGGAAUGCUGAGGUCCCCGGAAGUAAUAGCGAUGGCACCGGGAGGCAGCGGUAGACCUGCAUCACAAAGCUGAACAUACCCGGGAGCCAAUCAGUGGGCAGCUUCUCUCCAAAUCCCUCACAACCAGGCAGCUGGCUCAGCAUGUCAGGCAAAUUCCAAAAAACCUCCCAGCUCAGAAAAAACACUCUUGAGACUCAGGUGCCAUAGCCUGCAGAAGCCAAAUCUCACCGACCCAGACUGGCAAAGCCCAUGCAGGUUUGCACUUGGACGUGAACUUGGACAAGGAAAUGGUUCACCCUUCUCAAGGUAACAGAGCAAGAGACAAGUCAUCACUUUGUGGCUUCAUAUGGAAGCACCUGUAAAUGAAGUGGGGACGAAGCAGGACAUGAUCCCCACAAGGGUUGUUUCGGAGACUAAGAAGAAGAAGAACAUAUUCAUAAAUGAUUAUCCACUGACCAACUGACUGAAAU